This is a non-coding RNA of Pelobates cultripes (western spadefoot toad), 312 nucleotides long. NCBI's taxonomy places the organism in Eukaryota, Metazoa, Chordata, Amphibia, Anura, Pelobatidae. The record is from the annotation of a GenBank genome assembly.
AUUUCACGUCAACAUAUAGCAUCCAGAUCCAGAAACAUUGCUUGAGAUAGUUUAGUAGGUUUUAAUUUAUUAUUCUGUGUUUUUGUUUCAGUGGUUUUCUGGUCAUUGUCAUGCAUUUUCAGGUAAUUAAACAAAACAUUAGAGAACGCCAGAUUCGGGUUCUGCUCUCUGAGUGGAUAAUUACCUUGGAAUCCUGAUGAGAUCUCUCCCACGCAGCCCUGUGUCACUUAACACUCUUUGUUGCAAGUACCAUACACAUGGCAUACCUACUUCCUCAAUAAUUGAAUUUGUCAGGCAUUAAGAAAAAGUGGC